CUCCUGUCUCUCUCUCUCUCUUCUCUCUGUCACUGUCUUUCUGUCUCUCUCUUCUCUCUGUCACUGUCUCUCUCUCUCUCUCUGGCACUCUCUCGUCCUCUCAGGCCUCCCUUUCAGGUCCCAGACUCCCGGCCGCGCGCCCACUUGCGCCCAACCAGCCCCGGAGACACCCAGGCCUGUCCCACGCCGUCGGUAGGUCCCCGGUCCGGGAGCGGGAGAGACCGGAGCGCCGGGGACGACCCCGGCAAGGGCGUGGCGUAUGCAGAUGAGCACGGCGCGCGGAGGCUGCCGGUCACGCUCGGCCUGGGACCCCAUGUCCCGCGCGCGAUAUCCGAGUGCUGUCGGGGUGUCUUCCCCUAGCGGCAACGGUGGAGCGAGGGGGCUGGAGAGGGUGAGGGGGCUGGGGCCGCACGAGAGAAGUGACCGUGUGUUGAGAGUGUGGUGGGCGCGAGGGUAUGAGAGGAAGCCGCACGGCCAGUCCAUACUUACCUGGCAGGGGAGAUACCAUGAUCACGAAGGUGGUUUUCCCAGGGCGAGGCUUAUCCAUUGCACUCCGGAUGUGCUGACCCCUGCGAUUUCCCCAAAUGUGGGAAACUCGACUGCAUAAUUUGUGGUAGUGGGGGACUGCGUUCGCGCUUUCCCCUGCCUUACUGGAAGUUGAAAGGUAGCUGUUAUUAUGAUCGGCGCUGGGUCUGGAUGUGUGGUGUUCAAAACACGGGCUGCUGGGCAGUUCGCUUUCGUUUUCACGUUUUUGUGGGGGUAGGGCGAUUGCUGCUUUUUUCUCACCCCGCGGGGGAUCCUUUAGUAACGCGCCAAUUAUACUGUGGGUUUAUGUUCUCCAGGGUAUUGUCGUGAAAACGUCACGAUCUCGUGCUUUCUCCAGGCCAAAGCCGCGUUUUUCCUGCAAGUUUGGGGUGUGUAGAGGAAAAAGCCAGAACUGCUUUCUCUUCCCUGGGGAAAAUAUCCCAGGGUCUUGGUAACCGCUGGCAGAAACGACAGAAUACGUACGGGGCGGGCAAUUAAUCCUGGUCCAGGGAAGUAUCCGGCUUAGAGGUUUAGGAAGGACCUGUCGGGGUUGAGUUCCCCACCCAGGGGGAGAUCGAGUCCGCGGGAGCUGCUGAUCCCACCCAGGCAGCUGCUGGGCUUGUUGGCAGCAGCGUCUUCUGGAAGGACUAGAACGGAGUCAUCCCACUCCCAGAGAAGCAGGCGUGUCAUGCAUGACAGUGAAGGCCGGACUACAAGGCCCUCAAGAACAGGAGACUUUGGGUCCUCGCUAACGGCCUUGGGAGACCACGCAAGACUGGUCAGAAAAGCCAGGUAGAAAGGCUUUUCAUGGGCCGCGCGCGGUGGCUCACGCCUGUAAUCCCAGCACUUUGAGAGGGCGAGGCGAGCGGAUCACUUGAGGUCAGGAAGUUCGAGACCAACCUGGGCAACAUGGUGAAACCCCCGUCUCUACUAAAAAUACAAAAAUUAGCCAGGCGGCGUGGCGCGUGCCUGUAAUUCCACCUGCUCCAGAGGCUGAGCCAUGAGAAUUGCUUGAACCCGGGAGGCGGAGGUUGCGGUGAGCCGAGAUCGCGCCAUUGCACUCCAGCCUGGGCAACAGAGCAAGACUCCGUCUCAAAAAAAAAAAAAAAAGAAAGAAAGAAAGAAGGAAAGAAAAAGGCUUUUCAUGAAUGCUUUUAGGAGAGUCUCGUGACAGCCUCUGUACAUGUCCCCAGGAGGAAACAAGAGACUCUGAUGUUCAGGGCCACCAUCCUGACAUGGACCUUUCCUCCAGUUAUAAUGUUGCCAUUUUGCUGUCUUAAGACCCUUAUGUCCAAGCCUUCCCAGACCUCAGCACCCCCGGGAUAUGUGUAAUAGAAGGGUAAAUACACGCCAGGCGCGGUGGCUCACGCCUGUAAUCCCAGCGCCUUGGGAGGCCGAGGUGGGCGGAUCACCUGAGGUCAGGAGUUUGAGACCAGCUUGACCAACGUGGCGAAAUCCUGUCUCUACUAAAAAUACAAAAAUUAGCCGGGCAUGGUGGUGUGUGUCUGUAAUCCCAGCUACUCGGGAGGCUGAGGCAGGAGAAUCGCUUGAACCCAGGAGGCGGAGAGGUUGCAGUGAGCUGAGAUCAUGCCACUUGUACCACUCCAGCCAGCCUGGGCAACAGAGCGAGACUCUGUCUCAAAAAAAAAAAAAAAAAGUAAAUAAUACAAAACUGGUAGAAGGAAAGAAAAAUGUUGGCCAGGCACGGUGGCUCACGCCUGUAAUCCUAGCGCUUUGGGAGGCUGAGGCGAGAGGAUCACUUGAGCCCAGGAGUUGGAGACCAGCUUGGGCAACACAGCAAGAGACCUCGUCUCUAAAUUAAAACAAAACAAACCAAAACAAAACAGAAGGCAGGAGGAGGCUGCAGUGAGCGGUGAUGGCGCCACUGCACUCCCACCCGAGUGACAAGAGCCUGCCUCAAAAAAGAAAAAACAAAAACAUGUGCCCCUGGUGCCAUAAGGAAAAGAGACUUUCCCCUUCCUUUGAGGCGUGAGUCUCUGCUUUUUGAGACAGGGUCUCUCUCUGUCACCCAGGCUGGGGUGCAGUGGCGUUAUCCUAGCUUACUCACUGCAGCCUCGAACUCCUGGGUUCAAGCGGUCCUCCGGCCUCAGCCUUCCUCCUUAGCUGGAACCACAGGUUUGCGUUACCACACAUGGCUAACUGGCUAAUUUUAUUUUAUUUAUUUUUUUUUUUUUGUAGAGACGGUGUCUUCCUAUGUUGCCCAGGCUGGGCUUGAACUCCUGGGCUCAAGCGAUCCUUCUGCCUCGGCCCCCCAAAAUGCUGAAAUUACGGGUGUCAGCCACCACGCCUGGCCUACGUGAGUCAUAUUAACAGCUAAAUAAGCCUCUUGCCAGUUUUACAACCUAGGAAGGUUUUCCCUUGAGGGCCUUGAAGCCACCAACUCAAAAGGAUCAACACACCCAGCUAAAACAGCUCAACUUCCUCAUCACACAACACAGUUCUGGCCAGUUAGACACACGUCCCCGGAAAGGGCAUCUCCAGGAGAAUAAAAAGGCCAAGCCACUUUUUGAAGAAAGUCUUUGUCCCUACCCCCUUUUUCUACCUGGAAGUCAGACUCAGGCCUGGAGUGUAGCGGCCGCCUUGGUACCUGGAAGCAACAAUCAUGGCCGGGAGACCUUACACCUGGCAUGGUAGAGCAGACGGAGGAGGGGCCGCCUGGUGAAUAGCCUGGCCAACAGCCCCAAACUGCUACCCCUUAAAUUCUGGGUAGGUGAGAAAAAUAAGUCCUGUCUAAGCUGCUCAUUGUUUUAGUUACCUGUAGCCAAAGUUAAAUCCUGCCUAAAAGGGUUCUCCCCUCAUUUUUAUAUUACAUGCCAUUUUUUAUUUUAUUUUAUUUUAUUUUAUUUUAUUUUAUUUUAUUUAUUUAGAGACAGAGUUUCGCUCUUGUUGCCCAGCCUGGAAUGCAAUGGCGCGAUCUUGGCUCACUACAGCCUCUGCCUCCCAGGUUCAAGUGAUUCUCCUGCCUCAGCCUCCCGAGUAGCUGGGAUUACACGCACCCGCCACCACGCCCAGCUAAUUCUUUUUUUUUUUUUGAGCCGGAGUCUCGCUCUGUCGUCCAGGUUGGAGUGCAGUGGCGCAAUCUCAGCUCACUGCAAGCUCCACCUCCCGGGUUCACGCCAUCC
This 3668-nucleotide long non-coding RNA is filed under the name Homo sapiens (human). RNAcentral describes it as "HSALNT0209346". The stretch from base 482 to 645 matches the Rfam family "U1 spliceosomal RNA". Lineage: Eukaryota; Metazoa; Chordata; Mammalia; Primates; Hominidae. The record is from RNAcentral.